This 339-nucleotide unclassified non-coding RNA is filed under the name soil metagenome. RNAcentral describes it as "partial contains 5.8S ribosomal RNA, internal transcribed spacer 2, and large subunit ribosomal RNA". The stretch from base 1 to 120 matches the Rfam family "5.8S ribosomal RNA", at positions 35 to 154 of the family's 154-position model. The record is from RNAcentral.
GAUGAAGAACGCAGCGAAAUGCGAUAAGUAAUGUGAAUUGCAGAAUUCAGUGAAUCAUCGAAUCUUUGAACGCACAUUGCGCCCGCCAGUAUUCUGGCGGGCAUGCCUGUUCGAGCGUCAUUUCAACCAUCAAGCCCCCGGGCUUGUGUUGGGGACCUGCGGCUGCCCGCAGGCCCUGAAAACCAGUGGCGGGCUCGCUGUCACACCGAGCGUAGUAGCAUAUCAUCUCGCUCUGGGCGUGCUGCGGGUUCCGGCCGUUAAAGCCUUUUUUUUUACCCAAGGUUGACCUCGGAUCAGGUAGGAAGACCCGCUGAACUUAAGCAUAUCAAAAGCGGAGGA